This 1323-nucleotide long non-coding RNA is filed under the name Scleropages formosus (Asian bonytongue). Its description in RNAcentral is "lncRNA (ENSSFOG00015030132.1)". The record is from RNAcentral. Lineage: Eukaryota; Metazoa; Chordata; Actinopteri; Osteoglossiformes; Osteoglossidae.
AUGGGGAAUUUGCUCUCAUUUAAAUCAAAAGAAGAAAAGUUGAAGGAGGUGGCUUGUCAGCUUUAUGACCAUACAAUGCACAAUAAGGUGUAUGGUGACCCCCUGCUUCCAGAUGUCAGCAUUGACAAGUCCCUUCUGGAAUUUUCCCAUCAAAAUUCAAUUUCCUUACUUUACAGCAAGUUCUCUGUACAGCUUCAGUGCAGUGACUGGCAAGAACAACUGAAAAGACUUGGAAGCAAAGUUCCCGGUCUUGUGAAAGAUGCGGGUACCAAGCUUGCAUCCUACACACCCUUUCCCCUUGCUGUAGGUCUUGGUGCCAUUGUAAUUUCAAUGUUGUGUGAGAAGAUUUUGGACUUUCACAAAAGUGACUCAGAGAGCAGUGCACUGUUGCUGCUGCAGAGGAUUUUUGCUGAGGAGAAGGAGAUGGAGGUCAAAAACCUGAUGGAGGAAUAUCUGAAGCGCCACAUGAUGUAUGUCUUUGAUAUGAAGAAGGUGCAAGAGGAGUUAGUGACCAUGGAGCGCCAACUGAGCUUCCAGCUCACUCGUCUGAAGAACUCAAUGAAAGAUGGCAACAUGAGUUCCCGUUCCCUCAAGAUCUGGGUCAAUGGUGCUGCCUUCCAUGUCCAAAUGCUCAUCCACUUGGUGCGUCUUGGGCAGGGGGACAGCACACCAGUCCAAGCUGCCAUUCAGAGCUACCAGGAGGACGUAGAAGUACUACUGAACCGAUACAAGGAGUAUAAAGCCACCACCAUUAUAAUAGAGCAUUCCCCAUUUGCACUCUUCUACAUUGUGAAGAAUUUCACUGAAACAGUCAGCGGUAUUAAACCUGCUGGUUUUUUGUUAGGGACGGUGGCAGGUGUUUUAACCCCAAUACCUGCUAUUUAUUUUAAUUUUUAUAGAAUUAAGGACAAAGAACUGGGGAAAGAAGUGUUCCAAAUCUCAGUCGUUGACCUGUAUUCAGACAAUGACAAACGUGCCCUUACAGAAGCUUUCUUGGAUCACAUGUUCUCCAAUUUUGAGCAGAUCACCAGACUGAAGGAGUACUUCUCAACUACUGCCAACAAUCUGGACAAACUUAUAGCUGAACAGGGAGACUUUGAUAUUUUAAAAGUUUCUCCAUCUCUGGAGUCCACUGAUGAUGGAGAAGAGGUGACCAGCACUGAUGAAAAGGAUGAGAAAGAGAGCACCAGUCAGAAGGGUAAGUCUCGUGCUACGUACACAAAAAAAGAAUCUGGUAAUGAAGAAUGGAAUGAAACAUCACCGUCUGUGGAAAAGGUGGAGAAGAUGAAUCCUGCAUUAAACAGUGUGAUGAGAAGCUAUUGA